ACCGACCACUGGCGGCGGCACAAAGCAAGGCGCGAGAGCCCGGUGUCCAUGGCGGUUCGGCGGCUCCGCUCGCCGGAGCAGCGUGCAACGGAGGGAUCCCGCGCGCUGCUCCGUCGAGCGUGGCCACCCGUGCAGCUACACGACAUUUAUUGCGGGAUGCCGGAGGAGAGAGCAGUGGUGCCAGGUCGGCCAUAAGUGCCCGCCGGCGGUGACGCGAGGCACUCGGCGUCAUCCAUUAGGCGUCGUAAACCUGCGGCUCGUCCGCCGCUGCGGAUGGCACGCCUUCAACGAUGCUGCUGCAGCAUGAGGUACUGACGUUGACGCGCAUUGCAUGGUGGCCAUGCUCAUAGGCGUCCAUGAUGUGUGUGCGGCACGGCAACAUCUCCAAUCUGGAGCGGAUAAGCACCCCCAGCCCAAACACGUUGAGGAUUUAUUCUUUGCUUCUAGUGCUCGGGAUUUGGGGAAAAACUGCUUUUUUUUUCUCGGGAUCUUUUCUUAAAAAAAAAAAUUUGAAUCCUUUUCUGAACCGAGGCCACAAUCAGUGCUAAUAUAUUAGGCGAAAAUUUAAUUUCGGCUAUUUCAUAAUUAGCAAACAUUAGUCAGGGCAAUUAGCACUUAACCCAGAUGUCAUCAUCAUUAUUAUGUAAGCGGAAGCGAUUUAUGCAUGAACAUUACUCAAAUUCAUAAGGAAUUAGACCAUGAUUAGUAAAUAACAUAAACCGAGUCUAAUUGGAGUUCUUAAACAGAGAUCAAACUGGCUCAAGAUACCAAUGUUAACAAUAAUACUUUAGAGUUAAGAUAACUAGGAUCUGGAUCUCUUGAUUAGAACACCCAUCAAGCAGAAUAGUGGUUACUAACCGUGAUUAUCUUGAUCCAUUAACAGGAUAGCCCCUGGCUCCACCUUAGCAUCUCCAGCAGUGAGAAGAUCGUCGGGAGGAAGGGCAUCAGCAGGCGAUGUAGCAGACACGAAGGAUGCCGCCGGCACGGACCUGGAGGUGGCCGGCGGUGGUGGUGGUCUUCUGAUCCCCUUAAGCACCUUUUCAGGAUCGGCUGUUAGGAGUAACCGGGUGCUAACCCGUACGUGUGUCACCCCCAAGGGGUACGACCUCCUCAUUUUGUAAGUGGUGCGAAGGGGACAGGGACCAAAACCAAAAGUUGGGUCAAUGCCCCCGAUCAGGGCAUGUACUGGGGAUGCAAAUCCUCCCCUUCUUUGUCUCAGUUUGUUAUAACCGUAGAUCAAUUCCAACACUGGUAACCUAGAGACAGAGACCGCGCCCGAGGCAGCGCCGGCCCCGUUGGCCGGUGCCCCGUCGACCGAGGAGGCUGCUGGUGACCUGGAGACGGGGACCGCACCGUCGCCAGCGCCAGCGCCGUCCAGCGGGUCGGCAGCGAUAAUCACCACGUACGCCUCGGCUCCGGUGUUCAUUUUGAUUCUGGUGUUCGCUGGUUUCUUCGCGACUGUAUAAUCCCGAUGAGAUUAAAUUUGUCAACGGGAGAACGUAUGUAGGAUAGUCUUUUUUUUCUCUUGAGCACUGUGCAACCCUUUUUUUAUUAUUAUUUCUUCGGGUUGAAAUGAAAGUUUGUUGUAUUUUCAAGAGGGUGUUUUCGUUUCAUGGUUUUGGUGUGUUUGUCAAAGUGGUUAUUGGAUGAGUUCGAAGCCUUGUUUUGCAUUCAAUUCUACACGAACUGAAUAUUACCAUUAGUUUCUCUCUUUUCUGCCAAAUAAAUAUGGGAUAAUUGGUUUUAUGUCCCUACUUAGGUCACACUCAGCUCGUUUAUCCCUAGUUACUGAAAAUACACGUUCCUGCCCAAACUACUAUGCUCGUGUUAUGCUUUUGCCCAUUGACCAUUUGACCAUCAUUUUGAAAAUUUCAUAAAAAA
RNAcentral lists this long non-coding RNA (1881 nucleotides) under Triticum aestivum (bread wheat). RNAcentral's name for it is "long non-coding RNA (TAES_LNC007535)". Lineage: Eukaryota; Viridiplantae; Streptophyta; Magnoliopsida; Poales; Poaceae. The record is from RNAcentral.